RNAcentral lists this ribosomal RNA (468 nucleotides) under uncultured bacterium. RNAcentral describes it as "partial 16S ribosomal RNA". It matches the Rfam family "Bacterial small subunit ribosomal RNA", at positions 28 to 507 of the family's 1533-position model. The record is from RNAcentral.
GACGAACGCUGGCGGCGUGCUUAACACAUGCAAGUCGAACGGAAAGGCCCUGCUUUUGUGGGGUGCCCGAUUGGCGAACGGGUGAGUAACACGUGAGUAACCUGCCCUUGACUUUGGGAUAACUUCAGGAAACUGGGGCUAAUACCGGAUAGGAGCUCCUGCUGCAUGGUGGGGGUUGGAAAGUUUCGGCGGUUGGGGCUGGACUCGCGGCUUAUCAGCUUGUUGGUGGGGUAGUGGCUUACCAAGGCUUUGACGGGUAGCCGGCCUGAGAGGGUGACCGGCCACAUUGGGACUGAGAUACGGACCAGAAUCCUACGGGAGGCAGCAGUGGGGAAUAUUGCACAAUGGGCGGAAGCCUGAUGCAGCAACGCCGCGUGCGGGAUGACGGCCUUCGGGUUGUAAACCGCUUUCGCAUGUGACGAAGCGUGAGUGACGGUAAUGGGUAAAGAAGCACCGGCUAACUACGUG